UGGGAUAUCGCCAAGCGGUAAGGCAACGGACUUUGACCGUCAUUCGCAGGUUCGAAUCCUGCUAUCCCAG
This 70-nucleotide transfer RNA is filed under the name Clostridium perfringens str. 13. It matches the Rfam family "tRNA". From Rfam's summary of the family: Transfer RNA (tRNA) molecules are approximately 80 nucleotides in length. Their secondary structure includes four short double-helical elements and three loops (D, anti-codon, and T loops). Lineage: Bacteria; Bacillati; Bacillota; Clostridia; Eubacteriales; Clostridiaceae. The record is from Rfam by way of RNAcentral.